AAAUGAAUAGACGGGGGCCCGCACAAGCAGUGGAGUAUGUGGUUUAAUUCGAAGCAACGCGAAGAACCUUACCAGGGCUUGACAUCCCUUGAAGUCAGUAGAGAUACUGAUGCUUUUCGGAGCAAGGAGACAGGUGGUGCAUGGUUGUCGUCAGCUCGUGUCGUGAGAUGUUGGGUUAAGUCCCGCAACGAGCGCAACCCUUGUUGUUAGUUGCCAGCGCGUAAAGGCGGGCACUCUAGCGAGACUGCCGGUGACAAAUCGGAGGAAGGUGGGGACGACGUCAAAUCAUCAUGCCCCUUAUGUCCUGGGCUACACACGUACUACAAUGGCCAUAACAGCAGGAAGCGAAGCCGUAAGGCGGAGCCAAUCCCCAAAUAUGGCCCCAGUUCGGAUUGUGGGCUGCAACCCGCCCACAUGAAGUCGGAAUUGCUAGUAAUGGCAGGUCAGCAUACUGCCGUGAAUACGUUCCCGGGCCUUGUACACACCGCCCGU
Molecule: ribosomal RNA, 492 nt
Filed under: uncultured bacterium
Lineage: Bacteria
Description: bacterial SSU rRNA
Rfam family: Bacterial small subunit ribosomal RNA
Source: RNAcentral